Molecule: transfer RNA, 87 nt
Filed under: bacterium HR34
Lineage: Bacteria
Description: tRNA-Leu
Rfam family: tRNA
About the family: Transfer RNA (tRNA) molecules are approximately 80 nucleotides in length. Their secondary structure includes four short double-helical elements and three loops (D, anti-codon, and T loops).
Source: RNAcentral
GCCCAGGUGGCGGAAUCGGCAUACGCACACGUUUGAGGGGCGUGGGCCCGAAAGGGCGUGUGGGUUCAAAUCCCACCCUGGGCACCA